Molecule: unclassified non-coding RNA, 9477 nt
Filed under: Leishmania donovani
Lineage: Eukaryota; Euglenozoa; Kinetoplastea; Trypanosomatida; Trypanosomatidae
Description: gene:LdHU3.31.0780(CDS-product:hypothetical_prote in_conserved)
Source: RNAcentral
GGGGUUUUCUUUUCGUUGCUGGCCACGCGGCACUCGGGCAUUGACGUGCAGGCACUCGGGCGAGGGGCGUACCACAACUCCCUCAUCGACUGCUCUUCCUGCACAAAAGAAAAGAUUCUGCGUAUUCGCCCUCUCUCUUUCUUAACCGACGUCUCUAGGACUCACUAAUCGCUGGUGCUGCUUCCUUGUAUCUAUAUUCUUUCCCUCACCUGCCACACGCACACACACACACACACAAAGGAGAUCAUAACUUGUGCACAUAGCAGCAACAACGCAAACAAGUCGAAAUAACAUUAGACUCCUUCCCUCCCCUUCCCUGAGCACUUCCCACACUCCCUUUCGUUCCUUUUCUCUCCUUCCUCCUCCCCUUUCUCUAGUACGGGGACCUUGGCGCCCCGCUAACCCGUACGCAUCUGCGGGUUGUUCAUGGUCUUCCUUUUUUUUUUUCGUCUAUUUGCUUGGUUUCCUUUUGACGUUGGUUCACCUCUUUGGCUUCUUUUACUGCGCUGAUCUGCUCUCUGCCCUCCCCACCACCACCAGCACCCUUUUCCCCCCUUUUGUGUGGAUGCGUUACUCGGUGAUUCCGAUCCACCGGUGGACAAUCUGUUGAUGUUCAUACACACACACACACAAAAAUAAAGAAACUGGGGACUGAAAAAGCAAAGAAAGGCGUCACGACUGUUGCGCGGUUACUUCGUGUACGUGUAUUUCUUUCGCUUGUGCUGCUUACUGGUCCUGUAUGUGUAUGUAUGUAUGUGUGCGCCCUUCUGCCUCUCGCUUUCUGUUUUGCUUUAUCGCAUACCUUUCCAUCUCUCCCUCUCUCCCCCGCCCUUCUUCUGCUUCGUCUGUGCUGCACGUUUUUGUGGUGCCCCUUCCGUAUUCACUGUGGCUCGACGGCGACGACGGCGGCUAGGCCGACGAUCACCAUACCGGUGCGUGGGCACGCACACACAUCCUCGUCGAUAACCGCUCAGGCCGCUCGUUCGCUUCUCGACCGCCCUCCCACUGUGUCGGCUGCGUUUGCUGCUGCGACCCGGCGUGGCCCGUCCCACCGAGUGGCCGCGCAUCCCCACGCACGCUUUGCAUUCGACGGAAUACCGAAGCGUCGCGGCGAGGCUCUCGGCGUUGCUGCGGGUUGUAGUGCGAGUAAGAAAAGCACCUUUUCUUGUUCAUUUUUUUUUGUUCGUUUUGUGUGUCGUGGCGUGUUGGGUGCGGUGUGUGUGUGUGCGCGCGCGCCUCCUGUGUUUUGUUUGUGGACUCGGCGCUUCCGCAUAUUGCAUUCCGCUACUCGCCCCUCUCCCGCACCUUUCUCCUGUGCGGUGUCUUAUCGUCCCCUCGCGAGAACACGUUUUGUGUUUCCUCCGCAGUCUUUGUGGCCCCCGCUUGUUUGCUACGUGCGUGUGUGAGCCGCGGCGGCUCUUAUCUUCGCCGCUGUGCGUGUGAGUGUGCGUGCCUCUGUUGGAGUGCGUCAUUUUCUUCCCCAAACUCUUCUCGUUCCCCCCUCUCUCCGGUGUCUUUCGUUCCGCAGUUGCCAAGCACAUUUCGUUCAGCCGCCACGCGUUGUCGUGGCCGAGUUGUUCGUCUUUUUGGCGUUCUUCGUCGUCGUCUUUUGCAGGUGUUGACCCUCUGUCCGAGUUCGGUGUUGAAGCAACCGUGGCGCCGCCCUCCAUCGCCACAGCUCUACUCCACUCUGUCUUCCGAGUACCUCGCUCACCUUGUGAGGGUGUGAGCGUUUUGCUUGUUCUUAUUUCUUAUAUAUAUUUCUUUGCCGCGCGAAGGGUUUCUUCGUCGCUGAGCCUACUUCUUUUCGCUCUCUUCGCUCAGCGCCACUCUCCCGGUAUCUCUCUUCUCAAACCUAUUAAAGGCGUUGUGUUCACUGGUUGCCCAGCACACGUAACAUCCGUAACGAAAAGCAGGCGCGGUGGCACUUUCAUCGGUUCAACCACCCGCCUCACUCCAUCCCACCGCCCUCUGCGCCUUCUUUGCUCUGUGUGUGCGUGCGCGUGCGCGUUUUCGGAUCGAAAACGAACAUAGAAGUAUACUAGCAUCACGCGCACACGGCGCCGAGCAGUCCAACGCACACGCACACAUACUCACAUAACGAUGGACCCGCCGAAGCACCACACCAACCGUGUGCCGACACUGUUUCAGCGCCCCUCCGGUGUAUUCAACCGUCCGGUGGGCGUCUCACCCGCGCAUAGCGCGCAUUCGGUUUCGCCCGAUCCGACUGCGAUGUCACAGGACUCUCCGGCACGCAUAGGCAGCUUUGCCACCACCUUUUUGGGCUCCAGUGGCACAAGCGUCGUCACGGUGCCCCCGGCACCACCGCAGCAGCAGAGCCCGCUGCAGCUCCGUUGCAACAGUGAGAUGCGCUCCAUCUGGUCGCCGCAACAGGUGUCACGAGUGCUUCAGGGCCUCCCGCUUGCGCACGCAGACUCGAUAGCCGAAACGGAGUUACUGUCGAGGGGCUCCUGCUCAAAGAACGAGGAGGAGGCACGUGUCGAGGAGCUGCUAGAUGGUCCUGUAUCACUCUCAGCGGACCUAGCUGAGCUUGCUGCCCCACCCGCGCCGCAUGAGAUGAAGGAGUCGGCCACAGAGGAGGAGCCGCAUGGGCUGAACUCGAAUCCAGUCACCAUCGACUCCUUCAGCGGCGGCGGCCGCACAUCCUUUGCCCAACGUAGCUUUUUUGCCGAAGCGGCAGUGGAGAUAACGUCACCCACCACCGCAGCAAGGCCGGAGAGGCUGCGCCGCGGCAAGGGGCCGCUCUUUGCGAGCCCUAACACGCCACUGAGCUUGCAGGGUGCUGCACUGCGCUCGAUGCCGCUGGAGAGAAGCGCGGCAGCGAGCGGCUUCCACAGUGCGGUGGCGCUGGCCCUGACAAAGAUGCACCUGCCACUCAGCCCGACAAGAGGCGUACCAUCAACAUCUGUGCCUGCAGAGCCGCGCACAUCGACGGGCGCCUCGUGCCAGUCGACUGCCGAUACCGCUCACGUCAAGCUCCCCCCGCAGCCUCGACCACCCCAGCACACGCAUCCACCCCCGCGAUUCUGCCGUUCAUCGUGCGGCUGGGAUGCAGCGGCCACCUCCACCCAGUCCUCGCGUGCCGCGUUUGGCGCCAAGCGGCUACCGCCGCUGGCGACAUUUAAGGGAGUCGACCCCUCCGUCAGGACCUCCAUUGCGGACAUCUCGCUGCACGACCCCCGGCAGGUGGGCACUGCUCCUCAAGCACCCUACCGCGAGUCAUCCGACAGCAGCGCAUCGUCACCGGUGGCGCUGCACGCCGACAACGAGUUCUCUCGCGUAAUGUCUCCAAACGUUAGCAAUCCCAGAACCGGUGCGACAAACGUGGGAGAGUCCUCCGCAGUAAAGUCGCUGCCGCACGCGAGCAGGUUCGACUCCAGUGGCGUCUUUCCCUCCCUCGCAUUGCCUAGCGCGUCGGUAGCCCUUCUGAGCUCACAGGAAGAGGUUCGGCCGUCUCCGUCUUCUUUGCAUACUCCACUGACUGACCGCUCUUCGCGGCGCAACACGUCGUCAAGUUCGCCGAGGCCUUCCUUUAUCACCCGCGCCAACUCCACCGCUUUAUCGACCUCUGCAUCCCCUCAUUAUCCGAUUUCGCUAACCCCGCUGCACCCUCCCACUUCCACGCUUGCCGCACAGCACUUCCCAGCCGGAGCGACUCGGGCACUGCGGAGCAGGCAACACGGUGUGCGAUCUCCCCUGGAGGCCAUUUGGCUGCGCAGCGAGGGCCUCUUGGCUCCCUCGGAGUCCAUGUUGUCUGCCGAGGGGUGCAACAAGGUUGACAGCCCGAUCUUGAACGCCGCCUCUCCCCCGCCUGCCGUUGCAGCACGUGAUGCCGGUGCCCUUCUCGGAUCUUCUUCGCAGCGGCAGUCGCAGCUCAAUGUGCAUGAGCUGUCGUCCUCUAUGCUGUCGCACGAGAUAUCAACUGUGAGCAGUGGCGGCGGUGUGGUGCCGGGCAAUGCUAUGUCGUCGGCGGGGCCGCAACCAGCUGGGGAGCGGGAGCGGCGGUCUAUGAUGCAGCGAAUCUUCCGGGAGCCCAAGAAGGGAGGGCAGAGAGUCUGGGUGAGCAUCGUGGCGCCGGACUCACGUUCCUCGUCCGUUGACGCCAGCGAGAAAUCGUAAAGCAGCAGCCAUUGGAAGGAGCGAGAGGGAGGAGGGGGCGUUGUGAGGUGCUCGUUUCUUGUUUUUUUUUCUGUUUUCGUUUUCGCGUGUGUGCGUUAAAGUACAUUAGUGUGUCGUUCUCCGUGACCGCUAUACAACAUUGACGACCAUUCGAUGGCGUCGCCUCCGUAGAGCUCUCCGUUUCUUCUGCGCUUCUCUUCACUGACACAUAUUUCUUUCUCUCCGCACCCCAUAUCAUCAACUGGCGUGAAGCGGCUUAGAACAAUGAAGGGGUUUGCUGGCUCUGACGGGUUGAGCUUGAGAAAGCAUUAUCAUCAUUAGCCGCAGUUGUACUUGGCUUGUGGCCGUUUUUCUUUAUUUCUUGCGUUCACCAAGAUGAUGCCGAUGCACUGCUCACAGCCACAGCAUUGUCUCCUCCUCUUUCCAUUUAUCUCUUCGUUUCUCGUUUCGUGACGUCCACACACGCGCACCCGUAGUCAAGCACUUUCCAAACGUGCUCUCGUGUUGGUUCGCUGCUCCGUACUCUCCCUCUUUUUCGUUUACAGUGCAAUCUCCUCCUCCUCCCCGCAUAUCUUCCUCUUCUCUGCAUCUGCUCGAGUUUGCUCGUGCGUGUCUCUCUGUCUGUGCGUCUCCCCACGCGUGCCUCCUUGCUCCUCCAGCCCCCCUCCACCUCUAUUUAAUGAACGAAAGAGGGGGAUCGGGUUGUGUCCGCUUGCCGUCCUCGCAAGGAAACGGACCCCCGAAAAAAGGAGCCGCAUUUCGUUGAAACUGCACUGCUGCAUGCGCCAGGGGUCCAAAUCCCCGUGCUGGUGUAUAUGCGUGUGCUUCCUUGCAAAUAUAGUCGUGCCUGUCUUUCUGUCUAUGCCUUUGGGCUGGCGCGUGCGGGAGAAGGCGGGCUUGUGUGUGAUUGUUCAUGAGCACGCACUUCUCCUUUCACCUCCUCCCCCUCCCACCUUUCGUGGUGCUUUCACCCCCCUCCCCACCACCACCAUUGUCGGCAUUUUUUCCCUUUCUCUUUUCUCUGUUGGCUUUGUUUACACGCCUCUUGCGCUCUUGUCUUCUGUGUUGCUCUCCGCCUCUCCCGUUCCUCAUCCUGCUCCGCGGCUCUUUCCUUCUUCGGAGGGUAGGGGGCGUUUACGCUCCCUGACCGGUCAUCCCUUCCACCCCUCCCUCCCUUGAGUACGUGUGUGUGUGUGGGUGCGCCGCAUCCUUUUUUCUUAGCGGAGCUCACGGGCUUCUCGGAUGCGUGUUUCUGUCGUUAUUCCGCUUCUUCUUUGUCGUAUCACUUUCUCCUUUCCUCCGCGCAAGAGUGCGGGGGAGCCAUCUGCGGCGUUUGAGUGUCGACGACUUUACCUAGCCGUGCUGCACAACGGAGCGAACUGGACGGCAGCCUUGUCGCAUGGUAGUCAGGUGUGUUUAUGCAUUCCUGAUGGACGUACACAGCUGGUUGUCGUAGGUGUGUGUGCAAUGCAGGCUCGCCGGGGCCGCACUGCGGGGACGUGAGUACGUGAGAGUUCCCAGGUUGUGGGAUGGAGAAGAAGGGGGUGAGGUUGACGGCCAAGGCAACGGCAACUAAACAUGCCUCUUGUCUUCGCCGCACUACCACUCUUCUGCGACCCGCUCUUUUUUUCGUAGACAAUAUUCUAGGAAGUGCUGCAAUGAUCGCACUCUCCACGCCCCACGCCCCUCGCACCGAGUUCUCUCCUCUCCGUCGCUAUUUUUCCGCACCGCAAUCCACCCGCUUAUUCCGCCGUUCCCCCCCUUUUUCGUCUUUUUUUUUCGUGCACGUGUGGCGACGCAUCGCGCGCACUCUAUUUUGAUGGUUUCUAGUUUGUAUCCCCCUCUCCUCCGUCCUUCCCUCAUUUCUGCCCUCUUCUGCUCCGUAUAAAUAAAUGUGUUUUCUUUUUUCCUUUUCGUUCCAUCGUGUCACCGUCUCCAAACGCCUUGAUACGUUGCCCUCCACACGUUUUGUGUGUGUGUUUGUGUGGAAUGGCAGCAGCAGGAAGGACGAGAUGGGGUUUGGUGAUUUCUCCCCUUCUGCCACCAGCCAAGAAAAUAAAAUCUAACAUCGCACAGGGCGGUGCCAAGCACGAUCGUAAAAGGAGCUGCAGCUCGAUCAUAGCAUCUUCCCUACUUCUCGUCUCUCAUUUUUUGUGUCACUCAUUGCCUCUGCUGUCUGGAGGUCGCGGUGAGUGGGGCGACGGGUAUGGAGGACCCUCUCACACGUGCUGAGCUCACUUCAGUCUCUUCUGCGUCUUCAUUUUUUUUUCGUUAAUCCAACGGCUUCCGCUUAUUCUGCCGUGCCUUGUCUGUCCUUUUCGUGCGUUGGGGCAUGAACACGCAGACAGACAGACGGACACGUACGCAAGCAUAGAAGGAACCCCUGGCACACACGAGUAAACGCGUCCCGUCGUCUUCGCGAGUACUCUUCCGUGCCUUCUCCCUCUUUUCACCCUCCACUCGUUGAUAGAACUCUCCCUUUAGCGUUGAUCUUCCUGUGCACUUUUACGGACUACUGCUUGUCUUUGGUCUGUCUCUGCGUGUGUUUGUGUGUUUUGCAUAGGCACGUUUUACCAUUGUGUCUUUUCUAUGUUUUUCUUUUUUUCUUCGUCUUUUGUUUGAGUCUUCCUGUGCAUCUCUCUCUGGUCCGACCCACCCCCUCCGACGCCGCUGCACUUUAAGGUCUAGCUUGUCUUUCGCAGCUCCUCCCUCCUUCCCCCCUUUCCCUCCCCCUUGUGUUCCUUUUCUUCCCCUUCUUUUUUUCCCUUAAGCGUGCCCAUUCUCUGCCGUACUGCACCCGCUCACUUCAGCUCUACCCCACGGUCCUGUCACAGGCUCGCGUCGCGUCUUGCGAAGCAGCGGCAGACACGCGGUACAGCCAUCCGCCGACCCAGGCCUCCGAGCACGGCCUCUGGCCCAAACUCCACCCGCCCACCCGCCUCGCAGGUCGCCGCGCAGCCUCCCCCAUCAUUGCCGGUCACCACGCGGUGCAAUCCUCCUCAGGCUGGCUCAGGGACCCCAAACCAGUAGACAGCGAGGGCUCCCGGUGGGUGGGUAGCAUAUGCUCGGGUCGCACGGACGCUUCACUCGCCAUAUGGGUGGCACAAGCGUGCUCACAGCUGCAGGCCGCUCCGACGCCACACCAUCCGUGACCUGGCAACCGACAUCGUCAGUAGCGAUGCAUCGGUCUCACCUCCUCACAUCGUAGGCACCUGACUCUACCACUAUCAGAGUUGGUUCAGCAUUCAUCAGGGGAUAGGGGGAGGCGGACUGCCUGGCUCCUUCCCACGCCGAGUGGAGAUGCUGGACCCUGAAAUGCCGCACACACGGAGGGUGUCCCCCCUUUUCUGGGCACGGUCUCAGCGAACCAAAGAAUUGCGCUCGCCGUUUUCGUUUCUACUCCACGGCCGUCAGUUGUGAGCACUCUCUCCGCUAGUCUGGUCGUUUCAAAGGCUUUCGCUUCUCCCUUGUACCAGUGCGCGUGUCUUCGUUCGUCUACAGCUCUCCCGCAUCUUCUCCGCCCACCCCUAUGUGUGGUACCUCAUGACGCGGGCGUCUUUCUUCUGUUGCUCAAAGGGCCCGCUGCUGAGCCGGAGAAGCUGGCCAACCUGCUUUCUCUGCAGUGAGACAAGAAGCGAAAAGCAAGUGGUAGUGCUUCGUUUACAUUCGUGCGGCAUGCACACUCUCAGAGAGAGAGGAUAAAGCUUGGGCGUGUACGUGCACACAUGCACGUCUACAGACAUACAGUCAAACCACUUCUUACUGCUUGUUGUCCCCGCUUUCAGUCAACUGCUUCCAUUUAUGUUUCUCUCGGCCCCUCUGAGGUGCGCAGACACUGAUGUGCCUUUCUCCAUCCAGAACCAACACCCUCAUCAAGAAUGCACGCGGCGACAGUGCGUCCACCCUCUGUGCUUCCCUUUUUUUGUUGUUCAUCCGGUAUUCUCUUUGAGUGGGGCCUUGAAUCGUUCAUGAGUGAGGCUGGAAGCGUCCUACCUGCGCUCUUCGUCCUCUUGGUGCCCUUGUCGGAUGUUGCUUCAAAUUCAUGCAAACCGUUGUGCGUUCAUUGUCGAGAGUUUCUCUGUCCUUCAUUCUUUUCUGUAGCUUCACCCCUCUCUCUUGUCCCGCUGGCCUCCACCUUUACUAACGUGGUUAGUGGUGCGUUGACGAAGUGCAGAGAAGUAGCGGCUGUGUGCGCGUGCUUGUCGAUGUGCUUGCGCGAUCUACCACCUUCCAUUUUCUACGCGACCUUGUUUUUUCUUUUUUUUUGCGUUUGCAGUGCCACUCAGUGCUUUCGUGAGACCCGAUGCGGGUGGGUGGGGCCCUGAUGGUGCGCCUGUGUUUGUGUGUCUGCAAGCAGGCGUACCUUCGUAUGUGCAGGCAGAUGCGCGCGCAUGUGGAGAGAGACACGUGACGCGACGCCAGUCACUUGUGUGCGUGCGAGUAUGCGCGAGAGCGCCAGGCCCGUUUUUGUGUCUUCUUGCGUUUCUGCUUAUCCCUAAUGCUGCACGGCGGCGAGUGGGCUCAUGUCGACUACUAAAUCCCAUCACCUUUGCUUUCCUCUUGAGGUUUCAGUGGCCACGCCGUCGGCCAUUUUGUCCGUGGUGGUUCUUCGUGGUUUGUGUGCCCGAAUGCCGGGGUGAAGCUCAGCUGACCACGCUCCGCCUUCACAAUCGAUUGCAUUUGCCUGCAAACCGGGAUCGGACCCAGCUCAGUGUGCUACACGGCUGCUGCCGCCCUCACGAGGCCGCGCAGGGCUCGGAAACAUGUGGACGUUCUUCUCUUGCUUGUGCGUGGUUUAUGUUUUUGCUUUGUUACUAACGUGCCCUACCGCGUCUUGUGCGAGAGCUUGCCGAAGAGUUUGCCGGAGAGCGUGUUUAUACCCCCCUCAUCGUGUGCCACUUAGUUCGGUCUCUCCCACCGGCCAAGAUGGCCGGUGCUUCGCCACGAAAGGCACUGCCGCGAAGUGGAAUUGCAGCCUCAUGGGGAGCAGAAGAAGCAUGCGUGGCUGCCGCAGAAGCGGAAAAAAAGAUGCGCUGCGCGAACCAUCCGCCUGCUCUCCCCCUUCCUCCUCCUCCCCGUUUUGCGGAAGAAAUGAGGCUCGCAUACUUCCUCUGCAUGCGGAGCCGUUCUUGUGGCCAACUCUUUUCUUCAUGCUCUUCCCCCUUCUGCGAGCGUUACGAUAAGCGAUGAUCGAGGGACAGCAAUUGCUUCAUCGGGCGAGCACAGUACCAGACAGCUAUCCUACACUGUGACUCAUGCACUGAAUGCUUUGAGUAGUACAAUGAAAAUAAAAAGGAGAACAUGCUACAUGACGGCGCUGGAAGGACCGGAGGGGAG